This 207-nucleotide ribosomal RNA is filed under the name uncultured bacterium. RNAcentral's name for it is "partial 16S ribosomal RNA". It matches the Rfam family "Bacterial small subunit ribosomal RNA", at positions 568 to 774 of the family's 1533-position model. The record is from RNAcentral.
CAUGUAGGCUGCUUGUUAAGUCUGAUGUGAAAGCCCCGGGCUCAACCCGGGAAGUGCAUUGGAUACUGGCAAGCUUGAGUAUGGGAGAGGAAAGUGGAAUUCCGAGUGUAGGGGUGAAAUCCGUGGAUAUUCGGAGGAACACCAGUGGCGAAGGCGGCUUUCUGGACCAAUACUGACGCUGAUAUGCGAAAGCGUGGGGAGCAAACA